AACCCAGCAUGAGUUAUGUCAUGUUAUCGAUAUGUGAAUACAUAGCAUAUCAGAAGGCAGACCCGGAGAACUGAAACAUCUUAGUACCCGGAGGAAGAGAAAGAAAAAUCGAUUCCCUGAGUAGCGGCGAGCGAAACGGGAAGAGCCCAAACCAACAAGCUUGCUUGUUGGGGUUGUAGGACACUCUAUACGGAGUUACAAAAG
This 204-nucleotide ribosomal RNA is filed under the name Staphylococcus sp. HMSC34G04. RNAcentral's name for it is "partial 23S ribosomal RNA". It matches the Rfam family "Bacterial large subunit ribosomal RNA", at positions 125 to 328 of the family's 2925-position model. Lineage: Bacteria; Bacillati; Bacillota; Bacilli; Caryophanales; Staphylococcaceae. The record is from RNAcentral.